RNAcentral lists this ribosomal RNA (465 nucleotides) under uncultured Pelotomaculum sp. RNAcentral's name for it is "bacterial SSU rRNA". It matches the Rfam family "Bacterial small subunit ribosomal RNA", at positions 916 to 1381 of the family's 1533-position model. Lineage: Bacteria; Bacillati; Bacillota; Clostridia; Eubacteriales; Desulfotomaculaceae. The record is from RNAcentral.
ACGGGGCCCGCACAAGCGGUGGAGCAUGUGGUUUAAUUCGACGCAACGCGAAGAACCUUACCAAGGCUUGACAUGCAGAGAAAUCCGGCAGAGAUGUCGGGUCCGCAAGGGCUCUGCACAGGUGGUGCAUGGUUGUCGUCAGCUCGUGUCGUGAGAUGUUGGGUUAAGUCCCGCAACGAGCGCAACCCCUACGUUUAGUUGCUAACGCGUGAAGGCGAGCACUCUAGACGAACUGCCGUUGACAAAACGGAGGAAGGUGGGAUGACGUCAAAUCAUCAUGCCCCUUAUGUUCUGGGCUACACACGUGCUACAAUGGCCGGUACAGACGGACGCAAAGCCGCGAGGUGGAGCAAAUCCUAAAAAGCCGGUCUCAGUUCGGAUUGCAGGCUGCAAUUCGCCUGCAUGAAGUCGGAAUCGCUAGUAAUCGCAGGUCAGCAUACUGCGGUGAAUACGUUCCCGGGCCUU